AACGAACGCUGGCGGCAGGCUUAACACAUGCAAGUCGAACGCUCCGCAAGGAGAGUGGCAGACGGGUGAGUAACACGUGGGAACGUACCCUUUACUACGGAACAACUCCGGGAAACUGGAGCUAAUACCGUAUGUGCCCUUCGGGGGAAAGAUUUAUCGGUAAAGGAUCGGCCCGCGUUGGAUUAGCUAGUUGGUGGGGU
This 200-nucleotide ribosomal RNA is filed under the name uncultured bacterium. RNAcentral's name for it is "partial 16S ribosomal RNA". It matches the Rfam family "Bacterial small subunit ribosomal RNA", at positions 29 to 258 of the family's 1533-position model. The record is from RNAcentral.